GGCAAAAUCGCUGAAAGGCGAUGACGCAAAGCUAUGAGUCUACGGCGGAACUAAGUAAACCGCUAAGAUUGUCAAGCUGCAA
Molecule: non-coding RNA, 82 nt
Filed under: human gut metagenome
Also listed under: 1 other name
Description: Cyclic di-GMP-I riboswitch
Rfam family: c-di-GMP-I riboswitch aptamer
About the family: GEMM was predicted in a large-scale screen for bacterial structured RNA regulatory elements. Genes associated with GEMM are involved in a diverse array of functions, including chemotaxis regulation, signal transduction, secretion and chitin.
Source: RNAcentral